UUACACAUGCAAGUCGAACGGUAGAGUAGCAAUACUCGAGAGUGGCGAACGGGUGAGUAAUAUAUCGGAACGUGCCCAGUCGUGGGGGAUAACGUAGAGAAAUUUACGCUAAUACCGCAUACGAUCUAAGGAUGAAAGCGGGGGAUCGCAAGACCUCGCGCGAUUGGAGCGGCUGAUAUCAGAUUAGGUUGUUGGUGAGGUAAAAGCUCACCAAGCCGACGAUCUGUAGCUGGUUUGAGAGAACGACCAGCCACACUGGGACUGAGACACGGCCCAGACUCCUACGGGAGGCAGCAGUGGGGAAUUUUGGACAAUGGGCGAAAGCCUGAUCCAGCAAUGCCGCGUGCAGGAAGAAGGCCUUCGGGUUGUAAACUGCUUUUGUACGGAACGAAACGGUCUGCUUUAAUACAGUGGGCUAAUGACGGUACCGUAAGAAUAAGCACCGGCUAACUACGUGCCAGCAGCCGCGGUAAUACGUAGGGUGCGAGCGUUAAUCGGAAUUACUGGGCGUAAAGCGUGCGCAGGCGGUUAUAUAAGACAGUUGUGAAAUCCCCGGGCUCAACCUGGGAAUUGCAUCUGUGACUGUAUAGCUAGAGUACGGUAGAGGGGGAUGGAAUUCCGCGUGUAGCAGUGAAGUGCGUAGAUAUGCGGAGGAACACCGAUGGCGAAGGCAAUCCCCUGGACCUGUACUGACGCUCAUGCACGAAAGCGUGGGGAGCAAACAGGAUUAGAUAC
This 735-nucleotide ribosomal RNA is filed under the name uncultured bacterium. RNAcentral describes it as "bacterial SSU rRNA". It matches the Rfam family "Bacterial small subunit ribosomal RNA", at positions 49 to 785 of the family's 1533-position model. The record is from RNAcentral.